RNAcentral lists this ribosomal RNA (141 nucleotides) under uncultured bacterium. RNAcentral's name for it is "partial 16S rRNA". It matches the Rfam family "Bacterial small subunit ribosomal RNA", at positions 355 to 511 of the family's 1533-position model. The record is from RNAcentral.
UGGGGAAUUUUUCGCAAUGGGCGAAAGCCUGACGGAGCAAUGCCGCGUGGAGGUGGAAGGCCUACGGGUCGUCAACUUCUUUUCUCGGAGAAGAAACAAUGACGGUAUCUGAGGAAUAAGCAUCGGCUAACUCUGCGCCAG